UUGGAAUGUAAACUUUCUUUUCAAUUCUAGCUUUAUAUUCUAUUAAAGGAUUAAACACAUUUUCAAUUCAAAAACACUGUUUUGAGAAGAGUUUUCAAGUUAAAAGUCUGUGUAUAGUAUCCCUGAAACUUCUUGAAGUUUCCCUUUGGGUGCGCAAUUUUGAAUCACCUGCUAAUAAAUGUGGUCGCUUACGGCCUUAGCCCCAGAAUUCACUUUUUUGAGAAAGUGCAAAGAAACGUUGAAUCUUUUUGCAUCAUCUCAUAAGAGGAGUUAAUGAUGUUUAUAAAAUAGAGAGAAUUACCCUAAGUUAUUGCCGCCUAAAAUCACUUUCUAUGCAUGCCCUGUAGGCGGGUAUUGUGUUUCAACUCAAAUAGCAUUUCACAGACCUAAGAAUCUGAGCGUAGCUUUUUGUAUACAUCUAAGCGUCAGGACAGAGAUAGUCCUUUUUGUGCCUUCCCCUUGAGCCUUUGCCCGGUUUCUCUGAAGCUGUGCUCUUUAUUUGCAGUUUUAGAGAAGGCCCUUUCAACGCAACAGGCCGGUGGAGGAGGGGGAGAGAGGACUGUCUGGGCAGUGUCCUCACUUUGUUGGCCAGGAGGAAAAGUGAGAGCGUGGAAGUGUGGUGUUGAGGCUGCCUCACCUCUCUGGGAGGCAUUUUCACUGGGAAAGAACAGCAGCAACAGGCACAGUGGGGCAAAGAACACGAAAGGGAAAAAGAUCAGCUGGCUCCUUCUAGGAGCCAGGCUGGAGAAGAGAUUGCUACACUGCGGAUGGCUCCUGCUUAUGAAGGCAGCCUGUGCCAGGGCUGAUCGCCCUAGGCCUGCUUGACAGCCCCGCCCGCUUCCUUCCUGCCUUCUCCACGUGGCCGCAGCCCUGGCUCCUGGGAGUGCACAGUUCAGCCCCGCUUGCAUCAGGGCGCUUCUUGCCCCUAUGCACAGAGCGCUCCUGUGCCCAAGUUCGCCGGCUGUCUGGCUCUUUGUAACUCUUGAUUUAGGAGUGUGUGUGUGUGUUUGUGUGUGUGUGUGUGUGUGUGUGUGUGUUGGUUUGUUUUGUUUUUUGUUGUUGUUGUUUUGAGACAGGGUCUCACUCUGGGGCCCAGGCCUGGGUGCAGUGGCUCGAUCACAGCUCACUGGAGCCUUGAACUCCUGGGCUCAAGCGUUGUUUUAGUUCUUUGCAAGGCGCUGUGGAGUCUUCCCCCAGCGUAUUUCCUAUGGGUCUUGACAGCCGCCACCAAAACCCCAGAAGAAACUACCCCAGGCGGUGCAGGGUCUGGAGUUUGGGUUUGGCUGUUUGAGUGGUGGCUUUCUCCCACUUCCUCGCGUGGGAAUGCGAUGUCCCUUGCGCCCCACUCGGUGGCACAUCCUCUCCAUUUCUCCUCGCCUGCGACUGUGACAAGCCUGCGGCCGCACAUUGUCAGCGAUUGUGGGAAAGGGCCGCGAGCCUUUCCGCCGCUCCCGGCCGCCCUAAUGAGGGAACAAUCGGGCUACGCGGCGCUGGCGGCGGGGUCAGGCGCGGCGUCCCGCACAAUGGGCGCGGCGCCCGAGCCCCUGACAGCGCCAUAAAUUGGCCGUGCAAAGCCGAGCGCUAGGUGGUCCCCCCUGGAGAAAAGAGCCGCCGCCGAGGGCGCGAAAAGGCGAGUCCGGAAGCCCGCCAGGGAGCCAGUGGCGCGUUUUCCAGAUCACCCUGUUGGAACUUAGCGUAGCAGAGGAAGAACACCAUGGAAUAAGGAGAAAGGAGAUACAAGUAGCCUCUCCAGGAAGAAUGUGACUGAAUACUUUUUAUACAAAACCACAAAAUUAGAUAAAUAUGUAUUUAAGUGUUAUUCCUGAAAGCUGGAGAAAGAAAUCUUACUUCUAAGAAUUGUUUAGCGAAGGAAUAAGAAAAUGUGAUGCUUGGAAGAAAAAACACACUGCCGAGAGGCCUUGCGCUGAGUGUGCUGAACAAUAGACAACCUCUAAGGAUGCUCGCCUGCAAUUCCGGCUCUGCCAUCAAUUCACUGUAUGCCUUUGGAUCAUCUACAAGACAUGAAUGAUGUUCAGAAUUACUUGUCAUGCCCUUUGCUUGGGGCUGAAAACAAGAUGCAGUCACACAGAUUUCAAUGGAGUGUGUACUCUAGAGGCAGACUGCCUGGGAUCAAAAUGCUUGCAGUAUAACCAUUGACAGCUUCCAUAACUUAUCUCUUCCCAGGUUAAUCAACCUGUAAAAUGGGGUAAUAUCUGCUCCUCCCUCAUAGGGUUGUGCAUAAAAAUCUCAUGAGAUUAUAGGUGUAGAGAGGUGAGAACCCACAGAAACCUUUCCAUAAAUGCUACCUAUUAUUAUUAAAUUCUAGCUUUCUUUCAGUUUUCAAAUUUAAAGUAAAGACUAAAAUCAGCUGAGAUAUACUGCAAUCUCCAGCUAAUGUUUGGAGAAGCAUUAGUAGUAUUCCCUUCAUCUUUCCUCAUCCCCUCCUUUUAAAGAACUCUAACUGGGAACAUGCAUUUAUUUCCCUCAUAUCUGUACAAGCCAUUGAUUUGCCAGGAGAGAAAUACAAAGACUUUCACAUUUUUGCUGCUCUCUCUCCUGAAUUAAUACUCCACUUCUGAAUUUAAGGCAGCAAAACUCCAUUCAGUGUUUUAAGAGUGGGUAAAAUAUAUAGAAAUGAGAAUAGCUUUGACAAGUUAACAUCCAUGUGAAUGAGACUAGAGAAAUAACAUUCUGUAUAUGAGUGCUUUUCUUCUAAAUCAUCUUACCAACUUUCAAGUGAUUAGACAAUUUUGUUUCAUUCCCUUCAAACUUACAAAUUAAUAUUUUUAAGAGAUGGAGUUAAUAACCAGUUAAAAACUAUAAAGGCUUCCUCAAUUGAAGGUCGGAGCUUUGCUAUCUAAAACUGACUUAGAGUUACAAUAAAAAUAGCAAUAUCAUGAAAUGCUAUAUUUGUAUUUCUCAGUUCAAUUGCUUUUUAUUUUCAAACAGUAUGCAACUAAGACAUGCCUGAGUGAAGUUUCCUAGGAGCCAGAUAAUUAAUCCAACAUUUAUCUGAAAUGCUGAACUAACUUGCAUAAUUCUUCAAAUGAAUAUCACACCUUCGAUGGGGACAUACAAAUUGUUUCAACCUGAGGCUUGAAAAUAUGUGUCAUAAAGCAUUCUGAUUUAUCAAGAACACGUUGUAAUUUGUUGCAUUUGGAAUGUAGCUACCUAACUUCCUGAAUAUUUUAAUAAAAUACCUGUAAAAUUACACAAUCAAAACUAUACCUCCACCAAGCAAAGUGACAGAGAUGGUACUAACAUCAACAAAAAGGUAAGAGAAUGGUAAAUUUCAAAAGGUUCUAGCUGUUUCCGUACUCUCUGUACUCUUACCGUGAAAUCAAGCGCUGAAAAAGAUUCUAGGCUUAAAAUUCAAUUAAAGCAAACACUUUUGACAAUUAUUUUACUAUUUGAUGUAAAAAAAUAGAUUUUUUUGUCUAGUGCUUUAGUUCUUUGCCUCUUUUUAAUUUUUUCUUAUGUAUGGUUUUAUUUUAAAGUUCCACUGAGGCAAUAUACAUAUGCCAGGCAGAAAAUGCAGAUAUUAAGGGAUUUUAUUCAUAACAGGCUAAAUUUGUCUCUUGUGAAAGAUAAAAACACUUUAAAGUUGAUGAGUCUAUGAUUUUAAGUAAAAUCCUCAUUCAAAUGUGAUUGCUUUAUAGGUUUAACUCUGGUCAGAGCAAUUUGUGUUCUUUCUAUAUAUUACUCCAACUAUAAUAAAGCUGUUUAUGCAAAUGUGAAAUUGUUGCUAUUGCAGAAUCUUUCCAACCAUGUAAGGUUGUAAUGUUAAAUUCCCAUUCACGAUCAAAAUUCCACAUAUUUACAACCUGCAAACAUCCCAAAUUCACACUUCAACAUCUGUGUGGCUGCCAACUUCUACUGAAAUCUGUAGCAUGCUUUUUUAGAAGUGGAGGAAAAAAGAAUAAAAAACCUGAGACUAAGAUAAGAAUCAAGAAGGAUUCAUGUGCCAAAAGCACACAUUCAAGCCUGGGAGAGGAAAUCAGAGUCCUAAGCCCCAACUUGGAAUGACUUACUAGAUGAUUGUAGUGACAGAGCCAUCUCCACACCGGGCUCUCAUCUGAGUCAGUGAUAUACUCUGUGCUAACAGAGACGAUUAUCCCAAGCAGCCAGUGAAUCAAAGCACAGUCUAAACCAAAAUCAAAGACUGUGUCUGGCAAAGCAUCACAACUUCCAGAGGAUUUGCUGAACAAAGCUACCAAAAACUUUAAAAACUGCAGUCUUAAUCUAGUCACCCCUUACACCUAAAUGAUGACAGUGUGAUAUGAAAACACCAGUUAUUAUGCUUUACAAGUCAGCAUGCUCAUCAGCAAAGGAUCUAAGUUAAAAUUAAUCCCUGUCGAUAUAGAAGACAAUAUCAAACUGGAGCCUUUUUUUAAGAAAAAAAAAAAGAAAUAUGUAGACUGAACAAACUCAAACUUCUAACCAAAAACAAAGUGAUAAACCAGUUAAUCAAGCUAUGAGGAGAACCAGUUAAAUCUGAUAUGAAACCACCAUUUUACUAGAGCAAACUGUUACUAAGCUCUGUUUACAUCAGCUCUGCCUUUUUCUCUUUCUCGGUAGUUCAGCUAUGGAUUGUCUUGUGGACUCUCACCAUCCGGAAUGAUUUGCUUUCUAUUCCAGUCUAUUCUCAGCUGUCUGGCCCUGCACAAGUGCUCGCAGAACUCACUAAUACCGACCACCUCCCUACCCCCCUCACCCCAUCUGCUUUUUACUCUGAGCAUGCAGGGCUCUAAUCAGUUCUCCAUAGCGCAGAGACUACUUCUUGUUUUUACAGACAAACAUGUUAAUUGCCAUCACACUCACAGGCAGAAUGAAGGACUGUCUUUUUACCCUCCUCAGUCCACCCGCCUGGAUGCAACACAAACUACAAUCUCCAUCUCACCCAAGGACAAGCCCCCUCUUCUCUAAACAGCACACAUUCUUUCAAACAAAAAAUCCCCACAGCUUAAACAUGCACAUACACAAUUAACAUACAUACAUAGGAAGCGCAUCAUUGCAAUGAUGGAUAUAACUUAUUACAUUGACCUUACUAGCUAAAGAGUAAGUGGUAAAAGGGAUUCAAAAAUAUGAGUUAGAGCAUCAGGGUAAGUCCAGCACUUCAGAUGGGGGUCAGCAUUCCUGAACUCUGUUUUCUCAUCUGAUCCUAUAACCAACCUUUUUCUCUGCCACUGACUGUUGGGAAGCAGUGCAUUUUAAACAAAAAAGGCCUCCCUUUGAUACCUCUUUAAAUGUCAAGAGUAAGCCCUUAUAAGAACCCAGUAGUCGGUACCCAGAGUUGGUGCCCAAACAUGAAAGAGAUUAGAAGAAGGUCUUGGUGUGGAAAAAGCCGUGGACCCCUUUCACUUCCAGGUGACACACUGUCAUCACCCACAUUACAGGAAAGGUGAGGCUGCUAAACGAUUACUGGGUGGCGGAGGACUCCAGAUUAGCUUAAAUAAAUGGCAUUAUUUUUAUAAAUAUUUUCAAGGAAGUAUAAUAUUUGUCUAUAAAAAGAUGGUUGAGAGCUGCAUUUCACCUUUCAUGUUUGUAUCUUGAAGUUUCAAGUUCAUUUCCGUACUCUGGGGUAGCUGCCCAAGGGAAAUCUGCUCUUCAGGUUUACUCUCCUAACAUCGCCCACAAAUCACUCAUGCAACCAAAACCUGCCAAUGAAAAGCGCGUAAGGUCUCCUUCAUCUAAGAAACCAGCAGUUUCCAAAACAAGCUCUUGUACAUUAUCCACCAGUGGCCAAGGUCUGGUGAAACACAAACUCUCUCCCAUAUUGAAGCAGAGAAUAUAAAUGAGGGCAAACUUUCUGGAGAGCAGAUUGACCACAUAGAUCAAGAUUCUUACAAAUGUUCUUAUCCUUUGACCUAAUAAUUACAGUUCUUGGAAUUUAUCCCAAGGAAAUUAUCAGAGAAGCAAACAAAGAAUUAUGUACAAGGAUGUUCAUUGCAAUGCUAUUUAUAAUAGCAAAAAAUUGCCACUGCCUAAUUAAGCAACAAUAGGAAUUUAGUUAAGUAAAUUAUAGUAAAUCCAUAGAACAGAAUGCUAUUCAGGCAUUAAAAACCAUGUGUUCAAAGAAUGCAAAAUGGCUCAGGGAAAUGCUGACAAGAUAAUGUUAAGUUAAAAAAGUAGGCUACAGUAUGUUAAAUGCAACGUGACCCCAGUUUUAUAAAUAUUACAUAUGCAUAUGACAUGUAAUAUGUGUAUAUAAAAUUUGGAAGAAAGAAAAACUACAUUGAAGUUUACUAAGUGCCAAGGAAUGCAAUAAAACCUUUACAUAAUUAUUUUAUUCACUCAUCAAAAUAAUUCACAGAAUGAACUAUUUUGAUCUCUAUUUUGACAGUGAGAAAACGAGAGCAAAGAGAGAUUAAGUUGUCAAAGAUCACUCAGGUAAUACAUUGGGUAGCUAGUGUUUGAUCCUAGAUGAUCUAUGUCCUACAUAACACUAUCCAUUGUGUUGUUCUAUGGGUUAUUUUCUCCCUUGCGUUAUUUGUGUAUUUUUCCAAUUUUUUUCAAUAAACAUAUUACUUUUAUAACCAGUUUUUAAAAGGUUCUUAAUAGUGUGCAAAGUGAGAGUGAUUAGCAUAAGUACUGAAAUUAAAUUCAUAUUCUUACUGAAAUGAACAGGGUAUUUUUGAUUUGUUAAAAGCAGAAUACAGUUUUGUUUUUUUUUAACUCUAUUCAUUAAUUAUUUAGAUUCUGAAAAUGUACCACUUGCUUUGCCUUUUAUAAGUUUUGGCACUUUUAUGCUUAAUAUGGCAUUUUGUGAAGCAGAAGGGGAGAACUGAAGUGGGGAUUUCUUAAAAGAUAAGUAAAAAUACAGACAGGGAUUUUCUAGGUGUCUUCAAUCUUCCUAAUAGAAGGUAAGGUAAACUUCUAGGAGUGAGUCGAGCAGGGGUGGAAAUUAAAAUUACGGAG
RNAcentral lists this long non-coding RNA (6918 nucleotides) under Homo sapiens (human). RNAcentral describes it as "HSALNT0036951". The record is from RNAcentral. Lineage: Eukaryota; Metazoa; Chordata; Mammalia; Primates; Hominidae.